Long non-coding RNA from Pan troglodytes (chimpanzee), 2645 nucleotides. RefSeq lists it as uncharacterized. NCBI's taxonomy places the organism in Eukaryota, Metazoa, Chordata, Mammalia, Primates, Hominidae. The transcript is spliced from 2 exons. The record is from RefSeq and is a predicted model, not a curated record.
GAAGUGCUGGGUAUGGACAUUCCAUCGUGAGGAGGGGCCCUGUGACUGCAGAUACUCAAUGCCUUCCAAGUGCGCUGGUGCCACCUUCAAGUGACACUUCUCAGAGUGUCACCCAGUGGCCCAGAGGCUCCCUAGUGUGUAGUCCACCCUCACUUAGACACGGCGGCCUGUACCUGACAUCCACACUCCCCACCUGCUGCCACCCACAGGAGCAUUUCAGGGCAUCACGAAUUGGUGGCUUUUCUUUCCAGUUCAACAGGCAUCUCCCAAGUCACCUGUGAUGAUUGCUUUUAUAUGUCCACGUGGCCACACUCAUCUAGACAUUGCUCUGAAGGUAUUGUGGUUGUGGUUAAUCUCUAUCAUCAGUUGACCUUAGGUGGAGGAGGUGACCUUUGAUGAUGUGAGUGAGCCCUGUCUAAGCAGGUGAAGGCAUUGAGAGCAAAACCUGAGGUUUCCCAGAAAAGGAGAAAUUUUGCCUCAAGGCUGCAGCUUCAGCUCCUGAUUUCAGACCUGCUGGCCCCACAAUCACUUGAGCCGAUUUAAAAAAUCUAUCCAUCAAUCAAUGUAUCCAUCCACCCAUCAACUCACCUAUUCAUACAUGUACUCAUCCUUGCAUCCAUUCAUCCCUCCCUCCUUCUUUCCCUCCUUCGUUCAUUCUUCUCCUCCCCCCCUCCCUCCCUCCCUCCCUCCCUUCUCUUCUUUCCUCCUUCUUCCCCCAAUCCCUUCCCUCCUUCCCUCCCUUCUCCCCAUCCCCAUCCACGGAUCCAUCCUAUGGACCCCAUCCUAUGUGUCCCUGAAGACCCCCGAGUGGCAUAGCAUUCGUUUGCAUGUGUGUGGCAUUGGCAGGGAAGUCUGGGCAGGGGGUGGUCAGUGCAAUGACUUGGGCCUGAAAGAAUGAGGUUUUGGUGGUGAGCUCUUCCCCUGUGGAGCUGAAUGUGCAGCCGUGUGUUUUGUUCACGGCUUCCUGCGUCUGCCCUCUAGAGGCCCACAGAAGCCUCGCACCUCCCUGGCCCGGCGUCUGCGGGUGAAUUGUCUGAGCAGGAGCACAGCGGUUUAAGCUUCAUGUUCUCCGGGCCCAGGUGAAAUACUCUCACCCCCUCUGAUGGCCACUUUCCAAUCCUGUUAUCCGCCCCCAGUCUUGUGAUUUGUCCCACAGCAAACACUCCUUCCAGGUGUGAGUUGUGCCAAGGAACACUGUUUCGUUGUCACACAUAGUACUUAGACUCAGUGAGUGAAGAGACACUUGGUCCCGGGCCCCCUUCUCUGCACACACUGCCCUGUGUGCUACAGCAUGCCAGGCAGGGUGCCAGGACCGCAGGCCCGUGAAGACCAUGGCGGCGGCUGUCUGAAGACCAGCUCACAGCAGGAGCUGCGCUGAGAUCUUCUCCUGGGUGCUCAUGCUGGGGCCCGAGGUCGUAUGGAAAAGGCUUGUCCCCCUUGCUGGAUGUCACAAGGCUCGGCCACGUGGAUAGAAGCUGCUUGGAUGACCACAUUAAGUGAAUGGCCGCAUCUGUGCACUGGCUCUGCAGCCCUGGGCAGCGACACAGAGACAGCAAGCAGAGCAUCCAUCACCAGGAUUCUCAGGCAGGUGUUACACCAGAGCUCAUGCGUGUCUGGCCCCAGGCUCUGAGCUGUGGCGCAUUCUUCUUGCACAUGCCCUGUAGGCUGGGUGAAAUGUUGUCACUGAAGGUGAGCUAGGAAGUCACAGGGCAGGUUUCACAAGAGACACAUCACAAAGACCCUGCUCAUAAAACAGGAUGUGGGAGAGAAGCCAGCCAAAACCAAGAUGGUGGCAAAAGAAACCUCUGUUCAUUAUACACUAAUUAUAAUGCAUUUGCAUAUGCUCAAUGACGUGCCUGGCAGCACCAAGACAGUUUACAGACGCCAUGACAACGUCUGGAAGUUACCCUAUGGGGUCUGAAGUGGGGAGGAAUUCUCAGUUCUUGGGGAAUUCCCUGCCUUUUUCCCAGAAAACUCAUGAAUAAUCCACCUGUUGUUCGGCAUAUAAUCAAGAAAUAACCAUAAAAAUAGCCACCCUUUUAUUCCUGUGCAGUAACCACCCAUUUAUUUCUUUACUUUCUUGAUUAACCUGAUUUCACUCUGUCCUCUUGCUCUUUUUUUUUUUUUUUGAGACAGAGUCUCGCCCUGUCACCAGGCUGGAGUGCAGUGGCAUGAACUCAGCUCACUGCAACCUCCACCUCCCGGGUUCCAGCGAUUCUCCUGCCUCAGCCUCCCGAGUAGCUGGGAUUACAGAUGUGCCCAACCACGUCCAGCUAAUCUUUGUAUUUUUAGUAGAGAUGGGAUUUCACCAUGUUGGCCAGGCUGGUCUCAAAAUCCUGACCUCAAGCAAUCCACCUGCCUCGGCCUCCCAAAGUGCUGGGAUUACAGGCGUGAGCCACUGUGCCCAGCCUGUCCUCUCACACUUGAAUUCCUUCCUGCACGAUACUAAGAACCCAUGUGACCUCCCGGGAUGAGCCCCGAUUUGGGGGUUCACCCGUGAUAAAGUAAGCUGGUGAACAGCAGGGAAGCACUCUGUGUCUGUAGCUUCCUGUGAGUAUGCAAUCAUUUCAAAAUUAAAAGUUUGUUAAAGCUAUAAAAAUUAUAAAAGAAAUUAAUAAAAAUCAUUGUCUCAAUCUUCACAACAA